Cinara cedri is the source of this 601-nucleotide non-coding RNA. NCBI's taxonomy places the organism in Eukaryota, Metazoa, Arthropoda, Insecta, Hemiptera, Aphididae. The record is from the annotation of a GenBank genome assembly.
AUUUUCCAGUAAAAUUGCUGAAUUAGGCACUACGAAAUGUUCGCGUUAAUGAAAAAGUCUUAACGCUGUCGAAUCUCCGUAUGAAGUAUCGCCAUUUUAGACGAGUCAGAUCUUUUGCGAUAAAAACGUUUCAUGUUUUUCUUGAAACGGUCGCCAGUUAAGACGAUCGGACAACUUUAGCUUACGAUAGUAUAACAUCGUUGGUCGCGAGAAAGAAGAGACUAAAUCAAUUCUGCAAUACAAACAAAUUUAACGUUAAAAAUGCAUACACAUUUACAAAAACUAAUACGCUAAUUUUUAAUGUACCUUCAUCAGUGCAAUUUACGGGAAACAAUUACAUUAGUCCAAGUUAUAAAAAAAAAUCGAUUCUUCUUCGUUAUUUAUUUAUUCGUAUAGUUGUUUGAUGAACCCCCUUACUCACUGUAUAGUCGUACUCAUAACUCGAUUAAUAUUUUGAUGAGAAUAUGCAAUAUAUUAUAAUACAGCUCUUUGAAGAACGUUCAUAUAACGGCAAUUGAGUAGCAUUUUAGUAAAGUUCUUCCGUCUGAUUACAUUUUGCGAAUAUCGCCAAUUUACGAACACUUAAUAUUCUAUCAUGUUC